GAAACAACUACAUGGUUGGGCUUAAAACUAGUAUGUUUGUACAGUGAAAAUGACACUGAACGUUGUGAACACGGGACAUGAACGAACAGCUGACAGUAACGUGAUGCACGGGACAUGAACAGCGGUCUCUUGG
Molecule: long non-coding RNA, 133 nt
Organism: Sebastes umbrosus (honeycomb rockfish)
Lineage: Eukaryota; Metazoa; Chordata; Actinopteri; Perciformes; Sebastidae
Exons: 3
Source: RefSeq, a predicted model, not a curated record